This is a non-coding RNA of Limnoraphis robusta CS-951, 77 nucleotides long. The record is from Rfam. Lineage: Bacteria; Bacillati; Cyanobacteriota; Cyanophyceae; Oscillatoriales; Sirenicapillariaceae.
AGGAGCCGGAUGAGGUGAAAGUCUCACGUCCGGUUCUGAAGACGAGUAGGAAAGGUGACUUUCUUGCUUAGUUUAAU